GGGACAGUGAUGUAACCUUUGCCUUGUCUCUAGAGAGGUGUUGUCUUAAAUGUCUUGCACAAUAGAGUUACGCUGAGGACC
Molecule: small nucleolar RNA, 81 nt
Filed under: Carlito syrichta (Philippine tarsier)
Lineage: Eukaryota; Metazoa; Chordata; Mammalia; Primates; Tarsiidae
Description: Small nucleolar RNA SNORD115 (ENSTSYG00000029929.1)
Rfam family: Small nucleolar RNA SNORD115
About the family: HBII-52 is a member of the C/D class of snoRNAs, which contain the C (UGAUGA) and D (CUGA) box motifs. HBII-52 is encoded in a tandemly repeated array with another C/D snoRNA, HBII-85, in the Prader-Willi syndrome (PWS) region of chromosome 15.
Source: Rfam by way of RNAcentral